Non-coding RNA from Picea glauca (white spruce), 46 nucleotides. The record is from Rfam. Lineage: Eukaryota; Viridiplantae; Streptophyta; Pinopsida; Pinales; Pinaceae.
UCAUCGGUUUUUUUCAAAACCAUAUAACUUUAAAAACGACCAAACC